AUCCAACUGAUGAGUCCCAAAUAGAACGAGAAGUGCGUUCUGGAU
This is a non-coding RNA of Schistosoma haematobium, 45 nucleotides long. The record is from Rfam. NCBI's taxonomy places the organism in Eukaryota, Metazoa, Platyhelminthes, Trematoda, Strigeidida, Schistosomatidae.